Molecule: long non-coding RNA, 3411 nt
Filed under: Homo sapiens (human)
Lineage: Eukaryota; Metazoa; Chordata; Mammalia; Primates; Hominidae
Description: non-protein coding lnc-ADGRL3-2:2
Source: RNAcentral
CUUCUCUGGAGGAAGCAACCCUGCACAGAGGGAAAGAAGAAUCUCAACAUACAGUCCUCAGCAGCUUUAGCAUGGGCAACAAAUUAAGUCUCUGUAAAAGGCCCAAAGGACAGGGUUUGGUGAGAUUCUGGAGAGCUGGAAACAUGGAGGUUGACAGGAAUGUAAAGAAGAACUCAUUUACAUGCCAGGAGGGUGGAACACCCCAAUUCCAUGAGGAUAACUGCUCCUGUACUCCAGACCUCACCCCAUGUGUCUCUUCAUCUGGCUGGUUAUUUGUCCUUUAAGAUCUCCUUACUCAACCAGUAAAUGUGUCUUUACAUUGUUUUAGUCUUGAACUAGAAGAUGAAAGCAUCAAAUAAAGAAAUAUACUGUGGGUAUAUGGAUUACAAAAAAAGAUCUGUGGAAGUUUGAAGUUGAGAAUGAUGACCUAGAGUAUCUGGUGGAAGAAAUUUCUAAGCAGCAAAGUGUUCAAGAUGUGGCCUGGAUGCUUCUAACAACCUAUGCUCAGAUGUAGGCACAAAGGAAUGACUUACAUUUGGAACUUACAUUUAAACAGGAAGCAGAGCCUAAAAGUUCAGAAAAUUUGCAGGCUGAUCAUGUGGCAAAUAAAUAAAAACCUUUUACAAGAGAGAAACUCAAGCAGGCUGUUGAGCAACCAUUUGCUAGAGAUAUCUGCAUAACUGAAAAGGAGCCAAAUGCUAAUAGCCAAGACAAUGGGAAAAAGGUUUCAGUGACAUUUCAGAGAACUUCCUGGCAGCCCUUCUUACCACAGGCCCUGAAGCCUAGGAGGACUGAAUGGUUUUGUAGGCCAGGCCCAGUACCUUGCUAGCCUGCACAGCCUUGAGACACGGCUCCCCAAAUUCUGGUCACUCUGGCCCCAGCCUCAGCUCAAAGGGGCACUGGUAAAACUUGGGCCAUCACUUCAGAGGACACGAGCUAUAAUCAUUGGCAGAUUCCACAUGGUGUUAAGCAUGUGGGUGCACAGAGUGCAAGAGUUAAGAAGGCUUGGUAGCCUCUGCCUAGACUUCAGAGGAUGUAUAGAAAAGGCUGGUGUUCAGGCAGAAGGCUGCUGCAGGAGUGGAGCCCUCACAGAGAACUUCUAGUAGAGCAGUGGGGAGGGGAAAUGUGGGUUUGGAAGCCCACAGAGUCCCCAGUGGGGUAUUGCCUAAUGAAGCUGUGAGAAGGGGGCCACCAUCAUCCAGAACCAAGAAUGGUAGAUCCAUUGGCAGCUUGCACUCUAUGCCUGGAAAAGCUGCAGGCACUCAGCUGUAGCACUUGAGAGGAGCCAUGGGGCUACAUCCUGCAAAUUCACAGGGGAAGAGCUGCCCAAAGCCUUGGGAGCCCACCCCUUGCAUUAACGUGCCAUGGAUGUGAGGCAUGGAGUCAAAAGAGAUUAUUUCAGAGCUUUAAGAUUUAAUGACUGUCCUGCUAGUUUUCGGACCUGUGUGAGCUCUAGUCCCUUUCUUUGCCUGACUUCUUUCUCUUGUAAUGGGAAUGUUUACCCAAUGCUGGCACCCUCAUUGUAUCUUGGAAGUAAAUGACUUGUUUUGAUUUUACAGGCUCACAGGUGGAAGGAACUCAUUUUCAGAUGGGACUUUGGACUUGGGACUUUUGAUUGAGUUGUUGCAGAAAUGAGUUAAGAUUUUGGGGAAUUGCUGAGAAGGCAUGAUUGUAUUUUGCCAUGUGAAAAGAAUAGGUAAUUUGGGGGAAGACAAGGGUAGAAUGAUAUAGUUUAGGUAUUUGUCCACACUGAAAUUUCAUGUUGAAUUGUAAUCCCCAAUGUUGGAAGUGUGGCCUGGUGGGAGGUGUUUAGGUCAUGGGGGUUGAUCCCUCAUGUCUUGGUGCUGUCCUCUCAAUAAUGAAUGAGUUCUCUCAAGAUUUGGUUGUUGUAAAGUGUGGUACCUCCACCCCCAACUCUUUCUCUUGCUCCUACAUUCACCAUGUCAAGUACCUGUUCCCACUUUGCCUUCCACCAUGAUUGUGAAGUUCCUGAGGCCUCUCGGAAAGCAGAUGCCAGCACUAUGCUUCCUGUACAGCCUGCAAAACUGUGAGCCAAUUAAACCUCUUUUCUUAUAAAGUACCCAGUCUCAGGUAUUUCUUUAUAGCAAUGCAAGAACAGCCUAAUACAAUCAGUAAAUAUGUCAGAUUCUACAAUGAGGCUACUAUAAUGUGAAGAUAUUUUUCUUAAUCAUUUACAUUUACAAAUAGACUAAAAUUCUUGUUUUAUGUUAUUGUCUUAGUUCAUUUUGUGCUGCUAUAACGGAAUACUACAGACUGGUAAUUAAUAAACAACAGAAGUUUAUUUGGCUCAUGUCUCUGGAGAUUGGGAAGUCUAAGACUGAGGGGCCUCAUCUAGUGAAGGUCUUGCUAUGUCAUAACAUAACAUGGUGGAAGUCAUCACAUGGUGAAAGCAUGUGUAAAAGAGGAAGACAGGAGAACUCAUACUCUUAUCAGGAUCCCACUCCCACAAUAUCUAGCCCUCUCCCAGGAUAACAGCACUGAUUAUCUUAGAAGGGUCUCAACUCUCAGGACUGUUGCAUUGGGGAUUACAUUUCAAACACGUGGAUCUUGGGAGACACAUUUAAACCACAACAGUGAUGUUUUGAAUAAUAAAUAUACAUCUACAAAUGUGUUUCUUCCACCUGGCAAUGCCUUCUUCUGAUAGUUUUAUUCUGCAAAUUUCAAUUAUUCAAAUAAAAUUUCCUCAUUGGCCCUCUUUAACACUUUUUCCUCUGAAAUCUUAUAUUACUUGUUGCUUUACAAAUACUCUUUAAAAAUUAUUCCACACUGGUAUCUAAAUUCUUCCUUUUUUCCCAGUCUUAUCUUCCCAAUUGGCUUUUAAUUUCCAUCAGGAAAGGAUCCAUGUGUUUUGACUUCUUGGUACUGCUCACAGUAAUACGUAAAUAAUUAAGAUUUAAUAUAAUUGGGUUUAAUUUAAUUUCAUGUAGAUUCCAAUUGAUUUUUCCAAUUAGAUGUGUGAGAUUUUUAUUCAUUAAAAUACGCAAUUAUACUAGCAUCCAUUUUUACUUGUCCAAAGAAUGAGCUAAGAUUUAAGUUAUAUUUUGCGAUCUUGAGAUACAUUUCAUAUGCUCUUCGUUGAAUCACUUUUCUAUUCAUCUUCAAAUUCCAGCUAUAAAAUAUGAUAUGCAAUUGUCUUAGCUCAGAUUGAUCACAAAUCCUUGUUCUACAAGAUACCAUGUAUUCAUAUAUUCAUAAAAAUAUCAACAGAAAUAAUAUAUUAAUAAAUAUUUAAGUAUGUAAUUUCAGAAAGAGAUGGUAAUGUAUCAGGACAGAUUUUAGUUAGGAGACACAAUAUGCUUAUCCGAGCACAAAGUUGGUUUUUAUCAAUUGAUGUUAGUUUUUGAUUAUAUACUAUAUGUAAGUUCUCUAUUUAUAAUUAUAAUUUUCUCA